UGGCGUUCAGUCAGUGUAUUUUAUGGGUUUCUGCGUCCCCUUGAGAUAGAAUUACAGGAAGGGGUACAGGGAGGUGAAGGGGGCCUCCUGGCUCCUAGGACUCUGUGUCAUUUCCUCCUGUAGACCUCAAGAUUCUCAAUGACCUGGAGGCUCUGAGAGGCUAUCAUCACUUUUUUUUGUAAGCACAAUUAGGUCCUCUUUAGGAUGAAGAGAGGAACGCUGCUCUGAGCAGACUGCUACCCUGAUGGGGAACACCAUCACCCAGAGGUGAGCGGCAAUACAGCCUUCUUACGGAGCACCUGCACCCUGACCUGCUAGUGAUGUGAAAGUGUCGAGGAAAGAAACUUCUCAAAGAAGAAUGGAAAUCCCACCCUGUAUUACACAGCAAAGAGCACUGGUUUUGGAGCCAUGUGACCCUGGAUGGACCCUCAACUCCACCACUUACCGCUGCACGACCUUGGAUACCUCCCCUGUGCAGGACAGUUCCCCAGUGUCUGGACAGUGAAUCCAUCUGUAAUCUACGCUAACUGUUUGUUCCCACUCAGCCCUUUGAUGUCCACGCUCUCCACCACCCUCCCCCUUCUCAUUCUGCAUCCUCUUGGGAGGGAACCUCACCCAUGCCUGUGGCCGUAACUGCCAGCUAACAAUGAUGACUUAUUAACAUCAGUUAAAACAAUUGAUGCUUUUGAACUGUGGUGUUGGAGAAGACUCUUGAGAGUCGCUUGGACUGCAAGGAGAUCAAACGAGUCAAUCCUAAAGGAAACCAACCCUG
Cervus elaphus (red deer) is the source of this 772-nucleotide long non-coding RNA. RefSeq lists it as uncharacterized. The transcript is spliced from 3 exons. NCBI's taxonomy places the organism in Eukaryota, Metazoa, Chordata, Mammalia, Artiodactyla, Cervidae. The record is from RefSeq and is a predicted model, not a curated record.